CUUUAUUGUUCUAGCUUCAAAUCGUCUCUCUGGGGACAA
This 39-nucleotide ribosomal RNA is filed under the name Fibricium subceraceum. Its description in RNAcentral is "partial 28S ribosomal RNA". The record is from RNAcentral. Lineage: Eukaryota; Fungi; Basidiomycota; Agaricomycetes; Hymenochaetales; Hymenochaetaceae.